AUUUUUGAUGCACACAGUUUCAGACUGAAGCACUGAACCUGAAUCUGGUCAGUUUGGAUUAUAGGAAAUAUUUGGACUAUACAUGGGAAUCUUUGUACAGAAGUUUAAUUGGCUGAUGAAUACUUUAAUUGUCUUAUUCUCAACCAGGAAAAUUAUGGUUAUCCGUCACCAACUUAUGCUUUAAUCUUUUUAUUCUUAAUGUUUCAGCAUUCUCAGCUUUCAGGGGG
Molecule: unclassified non-coding RNA, 227 nt
Filed under: Hevea brasiliensis (rubber tree)
Lineage: Eukaryota; Viridiplantae; Streptophyta; Magnoliopsida; Malpighiales; Euphorbiaceae
Source: RNAcentral